CCCUUGGUGGUGUAGUUGGUUAUCGCGUUCGGCUGUAAUUGAAAUAUCUAUAUCUAGAUAUGAUUGUAUACCGAAAUGUCGCCGGUUCGAUUCCGGCCCGAGGGA
RNAcentral lists this transfer RNA (105 nucleotides) under Hypoxylon sp. FL1857. RNAcentral's name for it is "tRNA-Tyr". It matches the Rfam family "tRNA". From Rfam's summary of the family: Transfer RNA (tRNA) molecules are approximately 80 nucleotides in length. Their secondary structure includes four short double-helical elements and three loops (D, anti-codon, and T loops). The record is from RNAcentral. Lineage: Eukaryota; Fungi; Ascomycota; Sordariomycetes; Xylariales; Hypoxylaceae.